RNAcentral lists this ribosomal RNA (468 nucleotides) under uncultured bacterium. RNAcentral's name for it is "partial 16S ribosomal RNA". It matches the Rfam family "Bacterial small subunit ribosomal RNA", at positions 28 to 507 of the family's 1533-position model. The record is from RNAcentral.
GACGAACGCUGGCGGCGUGCUUAACACAUGCAAGUCGAACGGAAAGGCCCUGCUUUUGUGGGGUGCUCGAGUGGCGAACGGGUGAGUAACACGUGAGUAACCUGCCCUUGACUUUGGGAUAACUUCAGGGAACUGGGGCUAAUACCGGGUAGGAGAUCCUGAUGCAUGGUGGGGGUUGGAAAGUUUCGGCGGUGGGGGCUGGAAUGGCGGCUUAUCAGCUUGUUGGUGAGGUAGUGGCGUACCAAGGCUUUGAAGGGUAGCCGGCCUGGGAGGGUGAACGGCCACAUUGGGACUGAGAUACGGCCCAGACUCCUACGUGCGGCAGCGGGGGGAAAUAUUGCACAAUGGGCGGAAGCCAGAGGCAGCAGCGCCGCGUGCGGGAAGACGUCUUUCUGGUGGUAAACCGCUGUCGCCUUUGACGAGGCGUGCUUGACGGUAAUGGGUAAAGAAGCACCGGCUAACUACGUG